CCGGAGUGAACGCACCACUGGUGUUCGGGUUGUCAUGCCAAUGGCAUUGCCCGGUAGCUAAGUGCGGAAAAGAUAAGCGCUGAAAGCAUCUAAGCGCGAAACUUGCCUCAAGAUGAGUCUUCCCUGGACCUUUAAGGUCCCUGAAGGAACGUUUAAGACUAAGACGUUGAUAGGCUGGGUGUGUAAGUGCAGCGAUGCAUUGAGCUAACCAGUACUAAUGAUCCGUGAGGCUUAACCUUACAACACCGAAGGUGUUUUAG
Molecule: ribosomal RNA, 260 nt
Filed under: Escherichia coli
Lineage: Bacteria; Pseudomonadati; Pseudomonadota; Gammaproteobacteria; Enterobacterales; Enterobacteriaceae
Description: partial 23S ribosomal RNA
Rfam family: Bacterial large subunit ribosomal RNA
Source: RNAcentral